UAACGGCGAGUGAAGCGGCAACAGCUCAAAUUUGAAAUCUGGCCUCUUUGGGGUCCGAGUUGUAAUUUGUAGAGGAUGUUUCGGGCACCGCUCCGGUUUAAAUUUCUUGGAACAGAAUGUCAAAGAGGGUGAGAACCCCGUCUUGGACCGGCAGUAGGGCCCAUGUGAAACUCCUUCGACGAGUCGAGUUGUUUGGGAAUGCAGCUCAAAAUGGGUGGUAAAUUUCAUCUAAAGCUAAAUAUUGGCCAGAGACCGAUAGCGCACAAGUAGAGUGAUCGAAAGAUGAAAAGCACUUUGAAAAGAGAGUUAAACAGUACGUGAAAUUGUUGAAAGGGAAGCGCUUGCAACCAGACUUGCGCGCGGCGGUUCCCCCUUCCUUCUGGUUGGGUUAUUCCGCCGUGUCCAGGCCAACAUCGGUUCUGGGGGUCGGUUAAAGGCCUGGGGAAUGUAUCUACCCUUCGGGCGUAGACUUAUAGCCCCGGGUGUCAUGCGACCUCCCGGGACCGAGGAACGCGCUUCGGCUCGGAUGUUGGCGUAAUGGUUGUCAGCGACCCGUCUUGAAACACGGACCAAGGAGUCUAACAUCUAUGCGAGUGUUUGGGUGUCAAACCCGGAACGCGGAAUGAAAGUGAACGGAGGUAGGAAGCUUCGGCUGCACUAUCGACCGAUCCUGAUGUCUUCGGAUGGAUUUGAGUAAGAGCAUAGCUGUUGG
This 712-nucleotide ribosomal RNA is filed under the name Exophiala dermatitidis. Its description in RNAcentral is "eukaryotic LSU rRNA". It matches the Rfam family "Eukaryotic large subunit ribosomal RNA", at positions 84 to 812 of the family's 3401-position model. The record is from RNAcentral. Lineage: Eukaryota; Fungi; Ascomycota; Eurotiomycetes; Chaetothyriales; Herpotrichiellaceae.